ACACCUCAACUCAUCAUGGUUUUCCAUGAUGAGCUUGGACUUUGGGGGUUUUGCUGGCUUACGGUCGGCUCCUCUAAAAUAAAUCAGCUUACCAGUGUUUGGUGGGUAUCAUGGGUGUGAUAACUAUCUACGCUUAUGGUUUUUCCACCAGGUAACCUUCAGCAGUGGAGGUUCACUGGAGCUCACAGACGUCUCUCCUCAGUGAGGACAGCCCUUUGAAC
Molecule: unclassified non-coding RNA, 221 nt
Filed under: uncultured Tomentella
Lineage: Eukaryota; Fungi; Basidiomycota; Agaricomycetes; Thelephorales; Thelephoraceae
Description: sequence contains ITS2
Source: RNAcentral